Molecule: RNA transcript, 967 nt
Organism: Camelus dromedarius (Arabian camel)
Lineage: Eukaryota; Metazoa; Chordata; Mammalia; Artiodactyla; Camelidae
Exons: 5
Source: RefSeq, a predicted model, not a curated record
UCGGAGGCGGGGCAGGCAGGGAGUAUGCACUCAAGACAACACGACGCGCGGCAUCUAAAUCUGAGAAGCCCGGAGUUGGUUCUGACUGAAUCCCGCCCCGGCGCUCCAACUCCGCACCCCCGAGGCCCCGCCCCGGCGCGUAGACAUGGCGGCGUCCUGUGGGCUUUGGGACUGAGGACCCGAGCCGCUGGGCCGCUGUCCUGAAGCGCCACCCGGAGGUGCUGAGGGCGCGCGCGGGCCCUCGGGGACGGCUGGAAGCCCUGGACAGAUGGUAUCGAGAGGAGUUGCCUGCGGCCAUCAAGGGCCGAGUAGAGAAGCAUGUGACACGAGAUGACCUGGAGCAGUUGCUGGCGUGGAAACUGGCAAGGGGCCUUUUCCGGCCGCGCCUGCAGCAACUCGUGACCGUCAACUCCCCGGAGCUGGUGGUGCAGCGUUCGGCCGCCGCUUUCCGCCUCCUGCCAGACAUGCACGCAGCGGUCAUGGAAUUGUGCGCUCUCCAGGGUGUGGGCCCCGCUACUGCCUUGGCGAUCCUGGCUGCUGGAGCUCCCGAGGUGGCCGCUUUCAUGUCUGAGGAGGCAGUGGCCGCAGUGCCUGGUUUGCCAGCCCUGCAGUACACUCUCAAGCACUAUCUGCUGUACUUGUGCAGGGUGCAAGAGCGUGCCACAGCCCUGAGCCGAGGCAGGGCCUCAGGGCUGUGGACCCCUCACCACAUGGAGACAGCACUGUGGACAUGGGCUAUGGGGCAGAAGCUGUGCCCUGAUCUACUGCCUGAUCUCAGUCCCAGCCUAGCCACCCCCGACGACACCAGGCCAGCCAAGAAGCGCAGGACCCAGGUGGACUAACUUGGCUGUGGCCCAGAACCUGGUCACCUGCCAUAUGACCUUAGGCUGCAAGUGUCUCUGGACAGCAGGCUGGCAGAGCAGGAGGCUGGCUGCUGCAGAAGCUCAAUAAAUGCUUAUUGUACUCA